UUUGCUGCAGUUUCCAGUGGUAAAGUCUCUCACCUGAAACAUGAUUUACACUUGAUCAAGAAAGGGCAUUUAUCUGUCAAAGAGUAUCUGGCAAAAAUUAAAGUUACCUGUGAUUUGCUUCACACCUCUAGUCAUCUCAUUUCCAUCAAGGAGCAAGUUGAGAUUGUUCUAGCCGAUUUUUUAACUAAAUUCGAGUCUAUGCUCACCAUUGUAUCUUUCUCAUCAGAGCCUCUAGCUAUAGACCACAUUUUGGAUAUACUGUUAAAGUGUGAAUGACGACAACAUCGAUUUAUCUCAAAGAUCCCUAUUCAGGCUGGGUAUGCGCCGCAUCAAAUUGAUACUUUAUCAGUGUUUCAGUCUAUUAGGCCAUCGAAUACUUCCAGGCUUGGGACUAUUUUUGAGCCACUAAAGGAAAUUUUACUCCGAGGCCACACACAUGAGGGGUUGUAUCGGUUCUCUCCGACAAUGUCUUUUGUCAACAUGGGGUCUAUUCAAGGUACUGAGAUGUCUCUUCAAAAUACAGAGUUGGGCACCAAGCAAAAAGCGUUUGAGCUGUGGCAUCGUCAACUUGGACAUCUGUCGUCGAAUGUUGUAAGUUCGGUUUUAAAAAGUUGUAAUACUAUUGUUGAUGCUAAUAAAUUACAGUAUAUUUGUUCUGCUUGUCAACAAAGGAAGUCACAUAAGCUACCUUUUUGGA
Gossypium raimondii (Peruvian cotton) is the source of this 697-nucleotide long non-coding RNA. RefSeq lists it as uncharacterized. The record is from RefSeq and is a predicted model, not a curated record. The transcript is spliced from 3 exons. Lineage: Eukaryota; Viridiplantae; Streptophyta; Magnoliopsida; Malvales; Malvaceae.